CGGCGGAGCGGCGCUCUGGUCAGGUUCCUCUGCUUCGAGGGCGGCGCGUGGGCUGAUGUCGAGGGCGAGGCGGCUGUGCCUCUGCGCCGGGCGUUCCUGGACGGGAGGGUGGUCGCAGAGGCCGCGUAUGGCGGCAGGGAGUUCCUGUUCGACUUCCUGUGGAUGGUGCGCAUCGACGCGCACCGCCGAGGUGGUCGCCAUGGGCUGGAUUGA
Molecule: ribosomal RNA, 213 nt
Filed under: Triticum aestivum (bread wheat)
Lineage: Eukaryota; Viridiplantae; Streptophyta; Magnoliopsida; Poales; Poaceae
Description: partial small subunit ribosomal RNA
Source: RNAcentral